GACGAACGCUGGCGGCGUGCUUAACACAUGCAAGUCGAACGGUGAACCUCUUCGGAGGGGAUCAGUGGCGAACGGGUGAGUAACACGUGGGCAACCUGCCCCCGGCUCUGGGAUAACUCCAAGAAUUUGGGGCUAAUACCGGAUGUUCACAGCUUCCCGCAUGGGUGGUGGUGAAAAGGGUGUGCGGCUGGGGAUGGGCCCGCGGCCUAUCAGCGUGUUGGUGGGGUAGUGGCCUACCAAGGCGACGACGGGAAGCCGGACUGGGAGGGUGACCGGCCACACUGGGACUGAGAAACGGCCCAGACUCCGACGGGAGGAAGCAGUGGGGAAUAGUGCGCAAUGGGCGGAAGCCUGACGCAGCGACGCCGCGUGGGGGAUGACGGCCUUCGGGUUGGAAACCUCUUUCAGCAGGGACGAAGCGAAAGUGACGGUACCUGCAGAAGAAGCACCGGCCAACUACGUG
RNAcentral lists this ribosomal RNA (463 nucleotides) under uncultured bacterium. Its description in RNAcentral is "partial 16S ribosomal RNA". It matches the Rfam family "Bacterial small subunit ribosomal RNA", at positions 28 to 507 of the family's 1533-position model. The record is from RNAcentral.